Molecule: transfer RNA, 66 nt
Filed under: Artheneis intricata
Lineage: Eukaryota; Metazoa; Arthropoda; Insecta; Hemiptera; Artheneidae
Description: tRNA-Ala
Rfam family: tRNA
About the family: Transfer RNA (tRNA) molecules are approximately 80 nucleotides in length. Their secondary structure includes four short double-helical elements and three loops (D, anti-codon, and T loops). Further hydrogen bonds mediate the characteristic L-shaped molecular structure. tRNAs have two regions of fundamental functional importance: the anti-codon, which is responsible for specific mRNA codon recognition, and the 3' end, to which the tRNAs corresponding amino acid is attached (by aminoacyl-tRNA synthetases). tRNAs cope with the degeneracy of the genetic code in two manners: having more than one tRNA (with a specific anti-codon) for a particular amino acid; and 'wobble' base-pairing, i.e. permitting non-standard base-pairing at the 3rd anti-codon position.
Source: RNAcentral
GGGAUUAUAGUUUAAUAUAAAACAUCUAAAUUGCAAUUAGAAGAAGCUAAAUUAAAGCUCAUCUCA